RNAcentral lists this ribosomal RNA (1347 nucleotides) under uncultured bacterium. Its description in RNAcentral is "bacterial SSU rRNA". It matches the Rfam family "Bacterial small subunit ribosomal RNA", at positions 27 to 1381 of the family's 1533-position model. The record is from RNAcentral.
GGACGAACGCUGGCGGCGUGCUUAACACAUGCAAGUCGGACGGUUCGCACUGGAAGGUUCGCUGGAAGGUGCGGAUAGUGGCGGACGGGUGAGUAACGCGUGAGGACAUGUCUGCAGGAGGGGGAUAACGUUUGGAAACGGACGCUAAGACCCCGUAUGCCGGAGGGUGAAAGUGGCGCAAGCCAGCCUGUGGAGUGACUCGCGUCCUAUCAGCUAGUUGGCGGGGUGAAGGCUCACCAAGGCUUCGAUGGGUAUGGGGUCUAAAAGGAUGGUCCCACACACUGGCACUGAGACACGGGCCAGACUCCUACGGGAGGCAGCAGUGAGGAAUAUUGGUCAAUGGGUGAGAGCCUGAACCAGCCAUCCCGCGUGCAGGAUGACGGUCCUAGUGAUUGUAAACUGCUUUUCUAUGAGAUGAAUAAGAGAUACGAGUAUUUCGAUGACCGUAUUAUAGGAAUAAGCAUCGGCUAACUCCGUGCCAGCAGCCGCGGUAAUACGGAGGAUGCAAGCGUUAUCCGGAUUUAUUAGGUUUAAAGGGUGCGUAGGUUGGCGUUUAAGUCAGUGGUUAAAGCCAUUAGCUUAACUAAUGUAUGCCAUUGAUACUGGAUGUCUUGAAUGUGGUAGAGGUAGGCGGAAUGUGUUGUGUAGCGGUGAAAUGCUUAGAUAUAACACAGAACACCGAUUGCGUAGGCAGCUUACUAUUCCAUUAUUGACGCUGAUGCACGAAAGCGUGGGGAUCAAACAGGAUUAGAUACCCUGGUAGUCCACGCUGUAAACUAUGAUCACUCGUUUUUGGCGAUAUAUAGUCAGAGACUGAGCGAAAGCAUUAAGUGAUCCACCUGGGGAGUAUGUUCGCAAGAAUGAAACUCAAAGGAAUUGACGGGGGCCCGCACAAGCGGAGGAACAUGUGGUUUAAUUCGAUGAUACGCGAGGAACCUUACCUGGGCUUAAAUGUAUAGUGCAUAAUGUGGAAACACAUUUUUCCUUCGGGACUCUUUACAAGGUGCUGCAUGGUUGUCGUCAGCUCGUGCCGUGAGGUGUCGGGUUAAGUCCCAUAACGAGCGCAACCCUCAUCGUUAGUUGCCAUCACGUUAAGGUGGGGACUCUAGCGAGACUGCCGGUGUAAACCGUGAGGAAGGUGGGGAUGACGUCAAAUCAGCACGGCCCUUAUGUCCAGGGCUACACACGUGUUACAAUGGCCAAUACAAAGGGCAGCCACCUGGCGACAGGGCGCUAAUCCUCAAAGUUGGUCUUAGUUCGGAUCGGAGUCUGCAACUCGACUCCGUGAAGCUGGAUUCGCUAGUAAUCGUAGAUCAGCCAUGCUAUGGUGAAUACGUUCCCGGGCCU